CUUGACCGAGCCGAGCCACAGCGGCUCGGCGCGGUCCUGCCCGUAGGUGUUCAGCAGCGCCUGCGCCUC
RNAcentral lists this antisense RNA (69 nucleotides) under Saccharothrix saharensis. RNAcentral describes it as "ASpks TB sRNA". It matches the Rfam family "ASpks TB sRNA". The record is from RNAcentral. Lineage: Bacteria; Bacillati; Actinomycetota; Actinomycetes; Pseudonocardiales; Pseudonocardiaceae.